RNAcentral lists this long non-coding RNA (1642 nucleotides) under Paramuricea clavata. Lineage: Eukaryota; Metazoa; Cnidaria; Anthozoa; Malacalcyonacea; Plexauridae. The record is from RNAcentral.
GCCAAAGUAUUCAAAACUGGCGUGAAGAACUUUAGCUGUACAUGUAAAUUCCACGCAUCCGACAUCUUUUGGGAUAAAAAAGCCAAAAGGUUAUCUUUGCGCUUGAUCAAAACAUUUAUCGUCAUUGUCCGACUGAAAAAAAAACUUUUGAUUUUAAAAUCGUUAUCGUCAAACGCCGAUAAUUUUAUCGUUUUCGUUGUAGCGUGGACACCAACAUAAUUUUUUUACCAAUCAUCGCGUGUUUACAAUUUAUCGUAUCGUUAUCGUUGUGUGGUGUGACCUGGGCUUAAUUAUCAAUGCUAUACCAAGACCUAAAAAAAAUACCUGUUGUUACGGUUUCCCGACCGACCCUAUUUUUUCUGCCCACCCUAUUAUUUUUUCAACAUGAUUGACCAAUGAGGAAAACUACACUGCAUGUAUGUAGCUGAGGUCGGACUGUUAGCACCCUUGGUAAGUCCACUGUAAAUGAGCGAUGGCAUUCGAGUCACAACGUCGACGCUUUGAAAACUGUUAUAUUAUGUUGUACAAAUACCAUAGUUAAAGAUUCAUUUGUAUAAAAUUGCCCAUACAUAUUUUGCUUUUGGACCAGUAAACUAUACGUAGGUACAAAAACUCAUGACUCGGAAGUAGUCUUAGGUACGUCUUGACUCUUUAGUUUGUACCAGAUCAGGUACGCGGCAAAAGUUGUCGGAGUACCAGUCAGGUACGGCUAAAAAAUUGAAUUAUCGCACCCUGACUUCCUUCUGGAAGGAAAUUUCCUUCCAAGUGGAAACGCUGGCUCAGCUCGCAAAUGUUAGAAUAAAAAGAUUGACAAGCGUUAAACUAUGGUUAAACGUCAUAAUGAAGUGUUAAUAGUGUACAUUUCCCUUGCGUAGUCCAAAUUUCUUCCUACUGUGACCUUUUGUUAGACACAAAAACGUUUGAUAUUCUAUCUCUCUGAAAACGACAGAGUUCCGGUUCCGGCCAUACUUUUUUUACUAGUUCCGGCCAGAACCGGAACUCUAAAAAAUCGGGGUUCCGGCCGGAACUAACCGACCGGAACCGAGUUCCGGUGCACCCCUACUAAAAUAAAGGCGAGUUUGAGCCAAAAUGUUUAAAUUCUUGUUUAUAUCAGAUGCGAAGUUCCAUCUUAGCCUUAACCAAGAAUUUUCAACUACAUUUAGUGUAUAACACAGUUUCUGAAGGCUUUCGAAAAUAAUGCUGACGUCAGCACUUUUAGUUUCCAAGACGCUGUAACUCAGGAGGAACUAAUCCUAUUGAUUCAAAAUUGAAUAAUGAUAUAAACAACAUAUAAAACUUCCAGUACGUAUUGUAACUGAAAUUCCUGGAGAUUGGACGGAAACCUGCAAAAGGCCCAUUUGAAAACAAACCUUUUUUAUCUGGGAAGUAUCAUUUCCAGAUUGCAUGCCCAAGUCUUAAUUUCAUACAUCGAAGAGCCUCGUCGCAUCAGGCCAGCCAAGCGGGUUACCAGACUUACUAGAAUACCAGCAAUAUUAUAUACUCGAUAAUAUACUGGCUCAAUAUAGUGCCAAUAUACCUAAAAUCCCAGCCUACUGUACGUCUGUCUGCCUGAGUACUUUAAUUAAUCUUGGGUAAAUGUAAGACAAUAAUUAGCCUUUCUCACGAUGACGAAUCACCGCCA